Molecule: ribosomal RNA, 497 nt
Filed under: uncultured bacterium
Lineage: Bacteria
Description: partial 16S ribosomal RNA
Rfam family: Bacterial small subunit ribosomal RNA
Source: RNAcentral
GAUGAACGCUGGCGGCGUGCCUAAUACAUGCAAGUCGAACGAACGUACGAUAAGCUUUCUUCUCUGCUGUUGGCGGCUGACGGGUGGGUAACACGUGGAUCGCCUACCUAUAUUUCUUGGAUCACUUCGUGAAACCGCAUCUGAUACCGGCUCAUAUUUUGAACCGCAUUGUUCAACAGUUCAUGACGGUCUUGCUGUCUCUUAUAGAUGAUUACGCGCUGCAUUAGCUAGUUGGUAAGGUAACGGCUUACCAAGGCAACGAUGCAUAUCCGACCUGAGAGGGUGAUAGGCCACACUGGAACUGAGACACGGUCCAGACUCCUACGGGAGGCAGCAGUAGGGAAUAUUCGGCAAUGGGCGAAAGCCUGAUGCAGCAAUGCCGCGUGAGUGAUGAAGGCCUUCGGAUCGUAAAACUCUGUUAUUAGGGAAGAACAGAUGUGGAAUAAAAUGUGGAUAUCCUGACGGUACCCAAUGAAAAAGCAACGGCUAACUACGUG